Molecule: ribosomal RNA, 366 nt
Filed under: uncultured microorganism
Description: bacterial SSU rRNA
Rfam family: Bacterial small subunit ribosomal RNA
Source: RNAcentral
GCGCACCAGUCGAGAAUCUUCCACAAUGGACGAAAGUCUGAUGGAGCGACGCCGCGUGCGGGAUGAAGGCCUUAUGGGUUGUAAACCGCUGUCAGGGGGGAAGAACAUCGGAAUGAACAAUACUCAUUCCGACUGACGUUACCCCCAGAGGAAGCUCCGGCCAACUCCGGUGCCAGCAAGCCGCGGUAAUACGGGGGGAGCAAGCGUUGUCCGGAAUUAUUGGGCGUAAAGGGCGUGUAGGCGGCGAGGUAAGUCGAAUGUGAAAUCUCACGGGCUCAACCGUGAAACUGCGUUCGAAACUACCCUGCUUGAGUACGGGAGAGGUGUACGGAAUUCCUGGUGUAGCGGUGGAAUGCGUAGAUAUCA